UAAGCAAAUAGUGAAAUCUUGUGGCUCAACCAUAAGGCUAUUAUUUAAACUGGCAGACUCGAGAAUGAGAGAGGUCACUGGAAUUCCCUGUGUAGGAGUGAAAUCCGUAGAUAUAGGGAGGAACACCAAUGGCGUAGGCAGGUGACUGACUCAUUUCUGACACUGAGGCACGAAAGCGUGGGGAGCGAACGGGAUUAGAUACCCCGGUAGUCCACGCCGUAAACGAUGGAUGCUA
This 235-nucleotide ribosomal RNA is filed under the name uncultured Candidatus Saccharibacteria bacterium. Its description in RNAcentral is "partial 16S ribosomal RNA". It matches the Rfam family "Bacterial small subunit ribosomal RNA", at positions 584 to 818 of the family's 1533-position model. Lineage: Bacteria; Candidatus Saccharimonadota. The record is from RNAcentral.